RNAcentral lists this ribosomal RNA (774 nucleotides) under Triticum aestivum (bread wheat). RNAcentral's name for it is "partial small subunit ribosomal RNA". The record is from RNAcentral. Lineage: Eukaryota; Viridiplantae; Streptophyta; Magnoliopsida; Poales; Poaceae.
AUGCAGCAGCAGGUUAUUGUCGCGUUCCAUGACACACCGAUCGGUGGCCAUUCUAGAUUUCCAGUCACUUGGCGUCGGGUGCGUCGACUGUUUGCCUGGCCCAAGAUGAAGACUCACAUACAACACUAUGUCAAGUGCUGUCCAACCUGUCAACAGGCGAAACUAGAUCGUGCCGCUUAUCCAGGGCUGCUCGAACCUUUGCCAGUACCUAAGGAAUCCUGGGAAAUGAUUAGUAUGGAUUUUGUCGAUGGACUGCCAUCCUCUGGAGGAGUGAAUUGCAUCUUGGUCAUUGUCGGCAAACUUACAAAAUUUGCCCACUUCCUUCCGUUGGCUCACCCAUAUACAACUUUAAAAGUCGCCCUCCUCUACAUGAAUCAAGUAUACAGGCUACAUGGGUUUCCCGGCUCAAUCAUCUCGGACCGUGACCCGGUGUUUACCAGCCACUUCUGGCAGGAGCUAUUCAAGUAUGCUGGCACUGGCCUUCGAAUGAGUUCAGCCAAUCAUCCGCAGACUGAUGGGCAAACCGAGCGUGUUAACCAAUGCCUGGAAACAUUUCUUCGGUGCUUCACCCAGGCCUGCCCCCGUCGCUGGAGUUUCUGGAUUCCUCUUGCCCAAUUCUGGUACAAUUCUUCUUAUCACUCUUCCAUUGGCAUGUAUCCUUUCCGAGCGAUGUACGGGCAUGAACCACGGCAACGAGCGCUUGUUCAGUGCCAUCGCUGCGCUCUUGGCUGGAUGAACGAGCAGUGGUGCAAGACCUGCUACAGCAGCAUCUGA